ACCCGCUGAAUUUAAGCAUAUAAGUAGGCGGUGAGUGAGACACCAACUGGGAUUCCCUUAGCAAUGGCGAAUGCAGAGGGUUGGGCUCGUUAUUGAAGUUGGGGCUCUUAGCCCUGAAUUGUAAUCCUGGAGUGUGCGACCAACGGAGGUGUGGUUAUAGGCUUGUGGGAACAUGUGUUGAUGAGGGUGAUAGCCCUGUGUGUCAUCUGCAGCCCCCAGUGCAUGGUGCACAGCUCACGAGUCACAUCCCUUUGGACUGGUGUGUGAAGCAGGUGGUAACAUUCAUCUGAAGCUGAAGAUUUGUCCGAAACCAAUAGUGAACAAGUACCUUGAGGGAAAGGUGAAACAGGACUUUGAAAAGAGAGCUAAACAUGCCUGAAUUUGCCGAGCAGGACAUGAGGGAAACCAGUGUAGCUUGGUAAGCUUACUGUGUGUGGUCCUGCUUGCCUGCAUUGUUUACAUUAGUGCAUGUGCAGGACAUAAGCUGAAUGUACACAGUGUGCUUUGCCUUGUCAACCAGGGUCAACACAGUGCCUAAUAGUAAUUUCAGUUGCUUGGUAACCUGCCCUUUGGUGGGGAAUGCGCCUGUCUCUGCGUGUGCGUGUGCUUCUUGGUGGCUAUGCGGUGCCAUUCGCCCCGUCUUGAAACACGGAUCAAGGAGUCUAAUGUGCGUGCGAGCUCAUCGGUUGUAAGACCUGUUAGCACAAUGGAGAUGUUGGUUGGGAUUAGUGCAUCGACAACUGACCGUUCAACUGUGAAAGACCCGAGUAUGAGCAUGUCUGUUAGGACCCGAAAGAUGGUGAACUAUGCCUGUGAAAGGUAAGCUCAGGGGAAACUCUGAUGGAGGCCUGCAGUGAUACUGACGUGCAAAUCGUUCGUUGUACAUGGGCAUAGGGGUGAAAGGCUAUUCGAAUCAUCUAGUAGCUGGUUCCCUCUGAAGUUUCCCUCAGGAUAGCUGGAGCUGGACAGCUUUACCAUGUAAAGCCAAUGAUUAAAGGAAUUGGGGGCCUGUUGCCCUUGACAUAUUCUCAAACUCUAAAUGGGUAAAGCACAGUUGCUACAUGUGUGAGUUUCAGUGGCAAGUGGCAGCUCUAAGUGGGCCAUUCUUGGUAAGCAGAACUGGCGAAGAGGGAUGAACCUAAUGCUGGGCAAAGGUGCCUCCCUGCUCACUCAUCAGAUACCAUAAAGGGUGUUGGUUCAUCUUAACAGCAGGACGGUGGUCAUGGAAGUUGAAAUCCGCUAAGGAGUGUGUAAUAACUCACCUGCCGAAUGGACUAGCCCCAAAAAUGGAUAGCGCUCAAGUGGGUGACUGAUAGCCAGCCAAUUCUGUGAUGAUGUUGCAUCGAUGAAUAGGAGGGCAUGGGGCUUUGUGCUGAAGUUUAAGGUGUAAGUCUGGGUGAAGCAGCCCUGGGUGCAGAUCUUGGUGGUAGUAGC
This 1434-nucleotide ribosomal RNA is filed under the name Dinophyceae sp. RNAcentral's name for it is "partial large subunit ribosomal RNA". It matches the Rfam family "Eukaryotic large subunit ribosomal RNA", at positions 23 to 1464 of the family's 3401-position model. Lineage: Eukaryota; Dinophyceae. The record is from RNAcentral.